CAACUUUCAGCAGUGGAUGUCUAGGCUCGCACAUCGAUGAAGAACGCUGCGAACUGCGAUACGUAAUGCGAAUUGCAGGAUUCAGUGAGUCAUCGAACUUUUGAACGCAUAUUGCACUUUCGGGUUACGCCUGGAAGUAUGUCUGUAUCAGUGUCCGUA
This 159-nucleotide ribosomal RNA is filed under the name Phytopythium chamaehyphon. RNAcentral's name for it is "5.8S ribosomal RNA". It matches the Rfam family "5.8S ribosomal RNA". Rfam says of the family: 5.8S ribosomal RNA (5.8S rRNA) is a component of the large subunit of the eukaryotic ribosome. It is transcribed by RNA polymerase I as part of the 45S precursor that also contains 18S and 28S rRNA. Lineage: Eukaryota; Oomycota; Peronosporomycetes; Pythiales; Pythiaceae. RNAcentral also lists the same sequence under 8 other names. The record is from RNAcentral.